GAUGAACGCUGGCGGCGUGCCUAAUACAUGCAAGUCGAGCGAACAGACGGGGAGCUUGCUCCUCUGACGUUAGCGGCGGACGGGUGAGUAACACGUGGAUAACCUACCUAUAAGACUGGGAUAACUUCGGGAAACCGGAGCUAAUACCGGAUAAUAUAUUGAACCGCAUGGUUCAAUAGUGAAAGACGGUUUUGCUGUCACUUAUAGAUGGAUCCGCGCCGCAUUAGCUAGUUGGUAAGGUAACGGCUUACCAAGGCGACGAUGCGUAGCCGACCUGAGAGGGUGAUCGGCCACACUGGAACUGAGACACGGUCCAGACUCCUACGGGAGGCAGCAGUAGGGAAUCUUCCGCAAUGGGCGAAAGCCUGACGGAGCAACGCCGCGUGAGUGAUGAAGGUCUUCGGAUCGUAAAACUCUGUUAUUAGGGAAGAACAAAUGUGUAAGUAACUAUGCACGUCUUGUCGGUACCUAAUCAGAAAGCCACGGCUAACUACGUG
RNAcentral lists this ribosomal RNA (497 nucleotides) under uncultured bacterium. RNAcentral's name for it is "partial 16S ribosomal RNA". It matches the Rfam family "Bacterial small subunit ribosomal RNA", at positions 28 to 507 of the family's 1533-position model. The record is from RNAcentral.